RNAcentral lists this ribosomal RNA (679 nucleotides) under uncultured Tomentella. RNAcentral describes it as "eukaryotic LSU rRNA". The stretch from base 257 to 411 matches the Rfam family "5.8S ribosomal RNA". The record is from RNAcentral. Lineage: Eukaryota; Fungi; Basidiomycota; Agaricomycetes; Thelephorales; Thelephoraceae.
GAGGAAGUAAAAGUCGUAACAAGGUUUCCGUAGGUGAACCUGCGGAAGGAUCAUUACCGAAUUGUCGACACGAGUUGUUGCUGGCCCUCGAAGGGGGGCACGUGCACGCUCUGUUUACACAUCCACUCACACCUGUGCACCCUCUGUAGUUCUAUGGCCUGGAGGACACCGUCCCCUUGCUGUGGUCCUACGUUUUUACACACACACUGUAACAAAGUCUUAUGGAAUGAAUGUCGCGUUUAACGCAAUACAAUACAACUUUCAGCAACGGAUCUCUUGGCUCUCGCAUCGAUGAAGAACGCAGCGAAAUGCGAUAAGUAAUGUGAAUUGCAGAAUUCAGUGAAUCAUCGAAUCUUUGAACGCACCUUGCGCCCUUUGGCUAUUCUGAAGGGCAUGCCUGUUUGAGUAUCAUGAACACCUCAGCUCUUGUGGUUUACCAUGAUGAGCUUGGACUUUGGGGGUCUUGCUGGCCUAUGGUCGGCUCCUCUUAAAUGAAUCAGCUUGCCAGUGUUUGGUGGCAUCACAGGUGUGAUAACUAUCUACGCUUGUGGUUUUCCACCAGGUAACCUUCAGUCACGGAGGUUCGCUGGGGCUCACAAAUGUCUCUCCUCAGUGAGGACAGCUUUUUAACGUUUGAUCUCAAAUCAGGUAGGACUACCCGCUGAACUUAAGCAUAUCA